UUGAGGAUUUCGUAUCAGUUGGUGUUUUGGGGCUAAAAGUUAUUCAUUCGAUUCUCCCGAGUACCGAUAGUUACUUUUUGCGGAUUUUAUUUGGAGGGAGGACUGGUAAAGUGAAAUGGAAUUUUUUGGAUUUUGAUUUGUCCAACUGCAUUUUGCUGAGUCGCCUGGAAGUUUUGUUUCGUCCGUAGAAGGAGCGUCGUGCGGUCUCUCCCGUGAAAGAACGUAGUACUCGCUUUUUUUUGUAAAAAACUGCAGAGAACGUGACUCCAAUCCAGACAGAUUUUAACCCUGACCUUAAUUCGAAUGUAAUUACAUCGGUUUCAAGACGUGGGCGGGUUUACCGUCUUAUCAGAAUGUCCUGAGAAAGUUCACAAUGUCGCGUCUGAAGAAGUAAUAUUCGUAGAAUUCCUAUCUUUCCAUCAUUCAAGCUCGAUAAAGACUCGGUGCUACAAGUGGAAAAUCGAAUUAACCAAUUUGAGUGUGUUGGUGGAUGAUAGUAAAAAUUCUGGUAUUCAUCGGAUCGGAAGUGUAUCGCUCAUCGUGAAAGCAGAAUUACGGCGAGAGAGAAGACCACCCGGAGAAGCAACGAGGACAGAUAGCGUAGUACGCCACUUCAACCAUCACAUUAAGGAGCAGCAUACACCCCAUUUAUUCGAAACUACAAUGGAUGUAUCUGGACUACCAUAGCCGCCACCUAGCCUAGAAUAUCGCGGUGAUACGACUCAGAUACUUGUAAGAUUUUCAGAACUUGCCACGACCAUGGUGAAAAAUUGAUGGCGAGAAAAAUCAAAAGUGAUCACUACAACUCUAUAACGCUUACGAAUGCCUAAAAAUGUCAUGAUAUAGAAUUUUACAUUCAAACUUAUAACGAAAAACUGCGAACUUUAAUAAAAACAAAAAUGUGUUCAAAACUAUAAAUAGUGUUCAGUGCUAGUAAAAAAUUCAGUGGCUCUAAUCUAAACGAAAUCAAAAUUAAACAAUAGAAAUGAGUGGUCUUGGACCAGCAGCAUGUUGGCUUGCCCACAAACGCCUAGAAUCCUGGUCUCGAAUGGCCAAAGAGCGUGUUGGGGCUGUCCGACGAGCAGCAGCCGAAAGGAACUCCGAGGAUAAUCCAUCAACCCCACCGCCACUGACGCCCUCAUCGGUGUCGUCGAAUACAAGUGGCGGCGGGAGUGGCGGAAGUGGUAGCGGAAGCUACGAACUAACAACCGAUUCAAAUUCAUCGUUAGAGGAAUGUAAUCUUGCGCGUGAACCGCAUGCUAUUCAACCAUUAGCAUCGGUCCCGGCCCAUACAGUUAACACGGAGAUGUUACGUGGACCACUAGAAGUGACGCCGAGUCCCCUGCACACGCAUUUGCAACACCAAAGUAAAUCGUUUCCUCCACGCUUAACACGAACACCAUCUGUAUCUAGUCAAAGUAGUGUAGAUAGUGCUCCUUCUAGACAAUCAGGUCAUCGAGGUUCAUCUCCCCAAAUAAGGACUUUUGGACCAGACGGGCGUACUUCAAUCCCACCCGAUCAUGGAAUGAUGCAUGCCUCACGAUCACCUAGUCCAUUACGUGCUAUAAGCCUUGACGCCCGAUGUUCCUCGCCUGGAUCAACUGAUGUUAGUGAUAUACGAACCCCAAGCCCGUCUCAAAGCAGUCUAGCUUCAAUAGUAGGCGGUAGUGCUAGCAGUGUUUGCCUACAAAGUCCAAAGAUUGGUAGAUGUCUUUCACCCUUAUUGAUUCCUCCUCGAAUACCGCCUGGUGUCGAAGCAGGCUGCGGUCCUGCGUCACCACUAGGGGCACUCCAACCUGAUCUCUACACUAGGCAAGAAGGACCAAUCUAUUUGACUGCGCCAGAGUUGAGCCCCGCUUUAGGAAGGCUACACUUACGCAUUAAAUAUGACUACCAUCUUUUCGAUUUGGCUGUGCAUUUAAUUGAAGCUCAUAACCUUUGUCCUAUCGAAGAUGGCGGGUUCCGCGAUCCUUACGUCAGACUUAUGCUGGAGCCGGAAGUGGAUCAGAGAAAAAGGCAAACGUCUAUCCAUCGUGGCGAAUCGAAUCCAUAUUUUGAUCAACAUUUCAAGUUCCCAGUUUCCCGUGAUCAACUGUCAGGGAAACAACUUAUCUUGCAAGUCCUGGACUACGAUCGAUACUCGCAUAAUGACAUAAUUGGCGAAGUGAGAGUUUCCAUUGAUGAUAUUGAUCUAUCCAAAUCGGUUGAGAUAUGGGGUGAUGUGUUGAGAGUGAAAAAGCCGCCUGAGGAUCGUCCGGAGAUUUUGAUUUCACUGAACUUCUUACCGCAGGCAGAACGACUUACUGUGGUUAUUAUGAAGGCCAAGAACUUGGAUACGGUGCAAGAGCCAUACGUGAAGCUCUAUCUAAUCCAAAAUGGAAAACGUGUCAAGAAGAAGAAAACCAGCAAUGGAAAAUCAAACGACCCAACAAAUCCCAUAUGGAAUGAGGCAUUCAACUUCAGUGUACCUACAUCUGCUGUAAACUCAACAGGAAUUGAGAUUUACGUUGUAUCGACCGGAGGUGAAGCCAAUGCAAUCGGCAGUUGCGGUCUCGGCCUACAAGAGCAUGGCCCCGGAAAGCAGCACUGGCAGGAUAUGAUCCACAACGCACGGAAACCCACAGCCAUGUGGCACUAUCUCAGAUAAGUUGCAAAUUCCACCAAGGACUACAUAGAAACGUAAGACAUAAGGAAUCAAGCCAGAGCAACCCGAAGGGAAUUAGUUAUUCGUGUAUUGACCAGAUAGACCAAAGUGACGGAGCAAAAUCGACCACAGGGAUCCUGCGGACUUAGGGAAAAUUUUAUAUACUACAAACAGUUCCAGUAGAGACGGAAUAUUUUUAAGGAAGAUAUAGGGAGCGAACUGAAUAUACAUCCUUCAAAGGCCAUCCAUGAAAUAAUGAAUAUUCAAUAGAUACUUCUAAAUUAACACUUUUCGAACUUGUUACAAUUUAUAUUAUUCUACAACUACAUAUACACUGCGGUACACUCUUGAUGAAUUUACUCAAUUUUCGAGCACAACAGGUUUUCAACACUGACAAAAUAAAAGAUAAAACAGAAACUUGGAACGCAACCACCUAAGAUUAUACAUUCUAUAUUCUACUAUCUAAUAUUUUUUAACAAACAAAAGAUAUAUAUUUAACAAAUAAAUUUACAAAAAUAGUUAUAUGAAUGAAAAAAAAACCUAUAAAUGGUCUAAAUAAAUAGUUAAUAAUAUAUAAAAUAUAAAAAUAUUGAAAUAUAUAAAUAUUAAAGAAUAAAAUAUAAAUUAACAAUUAUUCUAGACGAAAUAUACCUAUUUAUUGCGCAAGAGGAAAAUAUAUAAAAAUUAGUUGAAAUGAGAUAGUAUAAAAUCUGUUGUAAAAAUGAUAAACUACGAAGGAAAUGUUAUGUAUAUUGUCUGUCGCUAAUUAUAAAGAAAAUAAAUUAUUUAAAUAACGUACCGACUUAA
RNAcentral lists this unclassified non-coding RNA (3451 nucleotides) under Hermetia illucens (black soldier fly). RNAcentral's name for it is "synaptotagmin-1, transcript variant X8". The record is from RNAcentral. Lineage: Eukaryota; Metazoa; Arthropoda; Insecta; Diptera; Stratiomyidae.